CAUGCGUUGAAAUGAUCCGGCGGUCAGCUGAGUGGAGCUGUUAGCAGCUGCUCUCCUGUUUCCAAAUAUUAAGAGUUUAAAAACCAAAACCAGAAACCUGUGGAAGCGAAGAACUCAGUCAGACAUGUCGGUGUCUUUCCGUCGUUCUUCUUCUUCUUCUUCUUCUUCUUCUCUGCUCCUUUAUGCUGUUUAGUCGAGCUUGUGUCAGAAGCAUGUCGUCCUCCCUCCACCGUCAUGUGAUCUGGGAGUGGGAGGGGCUAGUGGCCUACCUGCACCCGAGGCCGUGGACCCCGGGCUCCGUCAUCCUUGAAGGCGGGGACCUCAGAGGGAGUCUCUUCCACCUGGAGGGGCCCCAGUUUGUGAAGUGGCUGCUGGGAGCCAGACGUGUGGCACAGCUGCUGUGUGACAGGCUGCACGUGCACAGGUGUGCGCUGGUCUGUAGACCCCACACAGACCGACCUGUACAGAUUCACAUCCUGCCCUUACAUGGACUGGACACAGAAUGGCGCCCUCACCUGGCUGCAGAAGAAGAAUACAACGCCCAUGACCCGGGGUACUGUACCUCUAAGAGCGCCCCUAGAUGGAGCCCCUCCCAGCUGAGUGAGAUCCAGACCAGGAUUCGUGCUCAGCUCCCCAUCCCGGACGCGCCCCCUGACCUGAGUUUCCUGGGAGAGGAUCCCGCCCACCCCGGCCUCUUCUCGCGCAUUGUUCGUGGGGAGGAGCAGCAGUGGAGAGUGUGGGAGGACGAGGCUCACGUGGCCUUUCUAACGCCGUUCCCAAACUCCCCGGGCUUCACUGUGCUGGUCCCUCGCCGACCUUUGACCUCGGAUGUUUUCAGGCUGGAAGAAGACAAUUAUAAAAAGCUGGCGUUGGCCGCCCAGAAGGUGUCCCGCCUCCUGGAGGAGGGGCUGGGAGCCUGGGCUGUGGGCCUUAUUUUUGAGGGUUUUGAGAUCGACUAUGCUCAUGCUAAGCUAAUCCCUCUGUUUCUGCCUCCAUCCGCGUCUGACGUAGACCAUCAAAGUAUGAAAGCUGUGGUUUUUAACGCCACCUACCCGGGCUUUGUGACCUCACAGGAUGGACCUGAAGCGAGUGCAUGCACUCUACAGGAGAUCCACGCCAAGAUAACCCAAACCUAAUAGUAGGGCUGGGC
This 1150-nucleotide long non-coding RNA is filed under the name Gouania willdenowi (blunt-snouted clingfish). RNAcentral's name for it is "lncRNA (ENSGWIG00000000110.1)". Lineage: Eukaryota; Metazoa; Chordata; Actinopteri; Blenniiformes; Gobiesocidae. The record is from RNAcentral.